This 459-nucleotide ribosomal RNA is filed under the name uncultured bacterium. RNAcentral describes it as "partial 16S ribosomal RNA". It matches the Rfam family "Bacterial small subunit ribosomal RNA", at positions 338 to 795 of the family's 1533-position model. The record is from RNAcentral.
CCUACGGGAGGCAGCAGUGAGGAAUAUUGGUCAAUGGGCGCGAGCCUGAACCAGCCAAGUCGCGUGAGGGAAGACGGUCCUAUGGAUUGUAAACCUCUUUUGUCGGGGAGCAAAAGACGCCACGCGUGGCGUUCCGAGAGUACCCGAAGAAAAAGCAUCGGCUAACUCCGUGCCAGCAGCCGCGGUAAUACGGGGGAUGCGAGCGUUAUCCGGAUUUAGUGGGUGUAACGGGUGCGCAGGCGGAAGAUCAAGGCAGCGGUAAAAUUGAGAGGCUCAACCUCUUCGAGCCGUUGAAACGGGUUUUCUUGAGUGAGUGAGAAGGAUGCGGAAUGCGUGGUGUAGCGGUGAAAUGCAUAGAUAUCACGCAGAACUCCGAUUGCGAAGGCAGCAUACCGGCGCUCAACUGACGCUCAUGCACGAAAGUGUGGGUAUCGAACAGGAUUAGAUACCCCAGUAGUC